RNAcentral lists this unclassified non-coding RNA (277 nucleotides) under Basidiomycota sp. RNAcentral describes it as "partial contains small subunit ribosomal RNA, internal transcribed spacer 1, and 5.8S ribosomal RNA". The stretch from base 1 to 47 matches the Rfam family "Eukaryotic small subunit ribosomal RNA", at positions 1785 to 1831 of the family's 1831-position model. Lineage: Eukaryota; Fungi; Basidiomycota. The record is from RNAcentral.
AAAGUCGUAACAAGGUUUCCGUAGGUGAACCUGCGGAAGGAUCAUUAAAAAAAUCUAAAAUGUGGUGAUGAGGGCUGUUCUUUCCCGACUUUGGGAGAGGCAGCCGAGCCACGGCGCGGGAAUCUGACACUUUUCCUUCCUUGUGGAGUGAAAAGGCGUCGUUUCUCGCUUGACCAACCUCAAAUUCUCCAUAACGUCUGAAACAUCAACGUCUCCUACAACGGAGUCGAUCAAUGUGAAUUUAAAACAACUUUUAACAAUGGAUCUCUUGGCUCUC